UGUGGCUCAUCAGUAGAGCACUCAUCUAGCACAUGUGAAGUCCUGGGUUCGAUCCUCAGCA
Molecule: transfer RNA, 61 nt
Filed under: Urocitellus parryii (Arctic ground squirrel)
Lineage: Eukaryota; Metazoa; Chordata; Mammalia; Rodentia; Sciuridae
Also listed under: 1 other name
Description: Spermophilus parryii (Arctic ground squirrel) tRNA
Rfam family: tRNA
About the family: Transfer RNA (tRNA) molecules are approximately 80 nucleotides in length. Their secondary structure includes four short double-helical elements and three loops (D, anti-codon, and T loops). Further hydrogen bonds mediate the characteristic L-shaped molecular structure. tRNAs have two regions of fundamental functional importance: the anti-codon, which is responsible for specific mRNA codon recognition, and the 3' end, to which the tRNAs corresponding amino acid is attached (by aminoacyl-tRNA synthetases). tRNAs cope with the degeneracy of the genetic code in two manners: having more than one tRNA (with a specific anti-codon) for a particular amino acid; and 'wobble' base-pairing, i.e. permitting non-standard base-pairing at the 3rd anti-codon position.
Source: Rfam by way of RNAcentral